CAGCAGGUGGAUGAGAGAAAGGGGAGGCAAGAGGAGAGACCCGAAGCGGCCGCCGGUCCGAGUGUCAGGUGAACUGAACUUCAGGGUGUCAAAUGCUGCCACUCUGUGAAGCCGCUCGCUUCUCACAGAUUCACACAAGAUACCCUUUGGCAUCAGCACAGCAACACACUGGAUUGUGGCAACGGUGGCUCCUACGGGGACGUCUUUCUUUCCCAACACUUGCCCAGUGUUUUCCUGUUCCAGUCUUUAUUGUUAGGGAUCCUCUGAGAGAUGCAUACCACAUCAAAAACAGACAGCAACAAAGGCAUUGAUGUAUUUCAUUUUGUUGCAUGAUUAUGGACAGUUUGGGAAUUAGAAG
This is a long non-coding RNA of Oreochromis aureus, 358 nucleotides long. The record is from Ensembl. Lineage: Eukaryota; Metazoa; Chordata; Actinopteri; Cichliformes; Cichlidae.